GGAAGCUUAUAAGAUGAGCCAGCUGUUCUUGGGUGGCCAUUUUCAGUUAAGUGACAUGCUAACAUAAAUUAAGCAUAUGUGGUUUGAGAACUGUUUUGUAAAGAACUUCCUUACAAGUGAAUCUAGACUUUUUUUUUUUUUUUUUUUUUGAGAUGGAGUUUCAUUCUUGUUGCCCAGGCUGGAGUGCAAUGGCGUGAUCUCAGCUCAUUGCAACCUCUGCCUCCCAGGUUCAGGUGAUUCUCCUGCCUAAGCCUCCUGAGUAGCUGGGAUUACAGGCACUCGCCACAACGCCCAGUUAAGUUUUGUAUUUUUAGUAGAGACGGGGUUUCACCAUGUUGGCCAGGCUGGUCUCAAACUCCUGACCUCAGGUGAUCCACCCGCCUUGGCCUCUGUAAUUGAUAGAGUUACAGACGUGAGCCACCAAGCCCAGCCCACUAGACAAGUUUUAAGAUCAUGUGCUUCCCAACAUGAAGAGUUCAAAAAUAGACCAGAGGACCAUCAUCCUGGGUGUUGUGGAGGAAAUUCCACACUGAGUGAGUGGUGAAUGCUGCUGACCUGGAAGGUGAUCCUAUGCCAAAAAUGGAUGGUUUUUGGACCAGUCGUCAUGGCAUAAUUACAAUAGCCUGGGCAUGUAAGAAGCUUGGAAAUCAUCACUCAUGUAUUUACAAGAAGAAAAAAACUGAACAAACUGAAAAUCAUUGGCUCUCCAUCAACACUCAGAGGACUGAAGCUGCAUGGCAAUUUGACACCCUGAAAUCUGGAGAGACAGAUGGAUACAGAGAGUCACAGCCAAGAUCUCACCAGGAGCAGAUGCCUCUGGAGCCACAAACUGGUUUUAUUUCAUCCUUGAAAGUUUCUAUGAAAAUCAUCUUCCUAGAAAUAGAAGAGCUGACAAUAACAAGCCCUAAACCUAAGCUAAGAAACCUGAAUCCUAGUUCUGCCUGUGUCAUUAACUAUGGACCUUGG
This 966-nucleotide long non-coding RNA is filed under the name Homo sapiens (human). Its description in RNAcentral is "HSALNT0113407". The record is from RNAcentral. Lineage: Eukaryota; Metazoa; Chordata; Mammalia; Primates; Hominidae.